This 274-nucleotide ribosomal RNA is filed under the name uncultured bacterium. RNAcentral describes it as "partial 16S ribosomal RNA". It matches the Rfam family "Bacterial small subunit ribosomal RNA", at positions 523 to 796 of the family's 1533-position model. The record is from RNAcentral.
AUACGAAGGGGGCUAGCGUUGUUCGGAAUCACUGGGCGUAAAGCGCGCGUAGGUGGAUCAAUUAGUUGAGGGUGAAAUCCCGGGGCUCAACCUCGGAACUGCCUUCAAUACUGUUGAUCUUGAGACCGAGAGAGGUGAGUGGAAUUCCUAGUGUAGAGGUGAAAUUCGUAGAUAUUAGGAAGAACACCAGUGGCGAAGGCGGCUCACUGGCUCGGUGCUGACGCUGAGGUGCGAAAGCGUGGGGAGCAAACAGGAUUAGAAACCCUAGUAGUCC